CCAAGCCGGAGGACUGUGCUGUGCCUCUCUCGCCCACAUUUUCCCCAAGCACUCUCAGGAACCUGGCAACAGACUGAGAGAAAGGAAUGAAAGGAUGGAAGAAUUACAAGAUCAGGCACUGCUGUCUGUCUGUUCCACGGAUGUAACCACAGCACACGCGUGGCUCACGGUACUAGUGUGAUAAAUGCUUGUUACAUGAAGGCGUGAACAGGGAUGAGAAGAGACUUCCUGGAGAAACAAAAGGACUAACAAUCAGGAAGGGGAGGUGAUCGGGGCAGGAGUAAAGUGGACACCUCAGCAAAGCCAUUCGCUGUGAUCUCUGAUUGUGCAGUGUCAUGUCCUGUCACCAGAGCCCCCUCGUGUUUGAUGUUGGCCAAUGCCGCCAGCAUGAUCUAGCAGGCCAAAUCCUAAUCUACCAUUCUCUGACACCAGCUGGUCCCCUGGGUCGUCCACCCGAUGUCCCCCAUUCUCCCCACUUGGCCUCCCCCACAGGCUCUCGGCAAAGGACCGUGGGAGGCACCUGUGACACUGCCCUUUUCCUGUGCAGCUGUUUUUCUUCUUCAUUCUUUUCACUCCUCGUUACUCUUUUUUUUUUCACUCUCAGCCCACACAAAACUAGGAACUUUGUUAUUCUACUUAUUUUUCUGUACUCUGUCUGUUUGCACACAGAUGGAUAUCUGAGAGCCAGCGAACUUUCUUUACCUCCUAGUAUCAUUUCAUGAAAAUUAGUAGCACCUGCACAAUGGGGCCUUGGAGACAGGAAUAAAAGGAAAAAUCUGGAAUGGAAUCACAUGACGCAACAGGCUAUGAAGACUCCCUGCCCGGCUGCUAUAUGUCUGGUAAACAGAAUAAAUAGUACUUGAGC
This 865-nucleotide long non-coding RNA is filed under the name Homo sapiens (human). RNAcentral's name for it is "long non-coding RNA NONHSAT177362.1". The record is from RNAcentral. Lineage: Eukaryota; Metazoa; Chordata; Mammalia; Primates; Hominidae.